AUUGAACGCUGGCGGCAGGCCUAACACAUGCAAGUCGAACGGUAACAGGAAGCAGCUUGCUGCUUUGCUGACGAGUGGCGGACGGGUGAGUAAUGUCUGGGAAACUGCCUGAUGGAGGGGGAUAACUACUGGAAACGGUAGCUAAUACCGCAUAACGUCGCAAGACCAAAGAGGGGGACCUUCGGGCCUCUUGCCAUCGGAUGUGCCCAGAUGGGAUUAGCUAGUAGGUGGGGUAACGGCUCACCUAGGCGACGAUCCCUAGCUGGUCUGAGAGGAUGACCAGCCACACUGGAACUGAGACACGGUCCAGACUCCUACGGGAGGCAGCAGUGGGGAAUAUUGCACAAUGGGCGUAAGCCUGAUGCAGUCAUGCCGCGUGUAUGAAGAAGGCCUUCGGGUUGUAAAGUACUUUCAGCGGGGAGGAAGGGAGUAAAGUUAAUACCUUUGCUCAUUGACGUUACCCGCAGAAGAAGCACCGGCUAACUCCGUG
Molecule: ribosomal RNA, 490 nt
Filed under: uncultured bacterium
Lineage: Bacteria
Description: partial 16S ribosomal RNA
Rfam family: Bacterial small subunit ribosomal RNA
Source: RNAcentral